This 352-nucleotide unclassified non-coding RNA is filed under the name Hevea brasiliensis (rubber tree). Lineage: Eukaryota; Viridiplantae; Streptophyta; Magnoliopsida; Malpighiales; Euphorbiaceae. The record is from RNAcentral.
UCCACAAAUGUGAGAGCACCACUCGUUUUAAUCUUUAAAGGUAUUCCUCAUCGAUCAGUAUGCUGGAGAUAUGAGCGAUUUCUGGCCAGUAUUCCCCCUUGUCAAAUUCUAGGAGUGGUUUGAGGAAUGGACAGUAGGAAAUAUGUAAUUUAGAGAGGGAAGAGGGCAUCACUUUUGCUGGAAGGGAUUGGAGAUUAGCACAACGCGUGAUGGUCAGCUCAUAGAGGGAGGAAAGCAGUGCUGAUUCGGAGAGUGAUUGGAGAUUAGGACAAUCCUCGAUGUUCAGCUCGAAGAGGGAGGAGGGCAAGGAAAGAGACUGGAGUUGAUGGCAGGAGAAGAUGCCUAGUCUUUG